Molecule: long non-coding RNA, 776 nt
Organism: Rhododendron vialii
Lineage: Eukaryota; Viridiplantae; Streptophyta; Magnoliopsida; Ericales; Ericaceae
Exons: 4
Source: RefSeq, a predicted model, not a curated record
UCAAGCUUCACUUGCCCAUGCAUCAUCAUGCUUUAAGCAUUGUAACUAACACCCACGGUUUUCAAAAUUGUAAAGAGAACACUACACAAAAAAUAAUGCAUAAAUCAAAUCUAAAAAGUCCUAGAAACCAAAUCUACUAACUCAACCAACAUAUAUGUAGAGAGAGAGAGAGAGAGAGAUGGGCUUGUCAAUAGGACCUUCUUGGGCUUUCUUCACCAUCGAAAUACGACACUCUGUCGUGACAAGAACCCACGAGGCCACAGUUGCCUACGCCACUGUGUUUCUAAUCGAAGCUCCUUAUGGGUACGGUGUAAUACCCAUCACUCCACUUCCUCUUCUUCUGAGAAAUCAAUACACUACCAUUUUCAUUUCCCUUCACAAAUCAAAUUCGCAAAUAGCGGGAAAAAGUUGAACUUUUUUCCUGAAGUAUAUGCAAAGACAAUAGGAAGAAUCGAAUAUAAAGCUCGAAAAAUAGGCAAAUACCUCAUGCGUUGGAUCCUCUAAUACUUGGGUGGUAUUCUUCGAAUUCUUUUAUGCUAUCGCUCCCUCAAUUUUCUUGUUCUACUACAGGAAAUAUUACCCUAAUGAAUUAGCCAUAUGUGAUCUAGUUUAAACCAAGAGCGACGACGAAGGAGAAGUCAUUAGUUGAAUUGCUGCAAAUGUUGUUCUGAUCUUCCAAUUUUGUCAAAGGGAAAAACUGUUAGAGAGGGUGAAGAAAGAGAAGAAAAUUCUUGCUAGAGCAAAUAUCAGAGCCACAUAUAGGUUAUAACUAGCGC